Molecule: ribosomal RNA, 292 nt
Filed under: uncultured bacterium
Lineage: Bacteria
Description: partial 16S ribosomal RNA
Rfam family: Bacterial small subunit ribosomal RNA
Source: RNAcentral
AGACGCACUCGUGUCAGCCGCCGCGGUGAUACGAAGGGGGCUAGCGUUGCUCGGAAUCACUGGGCGUAAAGGGUGCGUAGGCGGGUCUUUAAGUCAGGGGUGAAAUCCUGGAGCUCAACUCCAGAACUGCCUUUGAUACUGAAGAUCUUGAGUUCGGGAGAGGUGAGUGGAACUGCGAGUGUAGAGGUGAAAUUCGUAGAUAUUCGCAAGAACACCAGUGGCGAAGGCGGCUCACUGGCCCGAUACUGACGCUGAGGCACGAAAGCGUGGGGAGCAAACAGGGUAUAGACUA